RNAcentral lists this ribosomal RNA (1359 nucleotides) under uncultured organism. RNAcentral describes it as "partial 16S ribosomal RNA". It matches the Rfam family "Bacterial small subunit ribosomal RNA". The record is from RNAcentral.
GAGUUUGAUCCUGGCUCAGAACGUACGCUGGCGGCACGCCUAACACAUGCAAGUCGAACGAAGUAGCAAUACUUAGUGGCAGACGGGUGAGUAACAUGUGGGUAUCUACCCUUUGGCCUGGAAUAACACGAGGAAACUUGUGCUAAUACCGGAUAAGUCUUUACAGAGAAAGCUUUAUGCACCAUUGGAUGAGCCUGCACUUGAUUAGUUAGUUGGUAGGGUAAUGGCCUACCAAGACUUUGAUCAAUAGCUGAUUUGAGAGGAUGAUCAGCCACAUUGGGACUGAGACACGGCCCAAACUCCUACGGGAGGCAGCAGUGGGGAAUCUUGCACAAUGGAGGAAACUCUGAUGCAGCGAUGCCGCGUGAGUGAAGAAGGCCCUUGGGUUGUAAAGCUCUUUCGUCGGGGAAGAAAAUGACUGUACCCGAAUAAGAAGGUCCGGCUAACUUCGUGCCAGCAGCCGCGGUAAUACGAAGGGACCUAGCGUAGUUCGGAAUUACUGGGCUUAAAGAGUUCGUAGGUGGUUGAAAAAGUUGAAAGAAUACCAAUGCGAAGGGCAGCUUUCUGGAUCAUUACUGACACUGAGGAACGAAAGCAUGGGUAGCGAAGAGGAUUAGAUACCCUCGUAGUCCAUGCCGUAAACGAUGUGUGUUAGACGUUGGGAAUUUAUUUUCAGUGUCGCAGCGAAAGCGAUAAACACACCGCCUGGGGAGUACGACCGCAAGGUUAAAACUCAAAUGAAUUGACGGGGACCCGCACAAGUAGUGGAGCAUGUGGUUUAAUUCGAAGAUACGCGCAGAACCUUACCAACACUUGACAUGUUCGUCGCGACUCUAAGAGAUUAGAGUUUUCGGUUCGGCCGGACGAAACACAGGUGCUGCAUGGCUGUCGUCAGCUCGUGUCGUGAGAUGUUGGGUUAAGUCCCGCAACGAGCGCAACCCUCACUUUUAGUUGCCAUCAUUUAGUUGGGCACUCUGAAAGAACUGCCAGUGAUAAGCUGGAGGAAGGUGGGGAUGACGUCAAGUCCUCAUGGCCCUUACGUGUUGGGCUACACACGUGCUACAAUGGUAUCUACAACAGGAAGCGAGACGGCAACGUUAAGCAAAUCCCAAAAAGAUACCUCAGUUCGGAUUGCACUCUGCAACUCGAGUGCAUGAAGCUGGAAUUACUAGUAAUCGUGGAUCAGCGUGCCACGGUGAAUGCGUUCCCGGGUCUUGUACACACCGCCCGUCACACCAUGGGAGUUGGUUCUACCUUAAGGCAAGGUUUUAAACCCUUGACCACGGUAUAGUCAGCGACUGGGGUGAAGUCGUAACAAGGUAGCCGUAGGGGAACCUGCGGCUGGAUCACCUCCUUUCU